UACGUAGGGUGCAAGCGUUGUCCGGAAUUAUUGGGCGUAAAGAGCCCGUAGGCGGUUUGUCACGUCGGAUGUGAAACCCUGAGGCUCAACCUCAGGCCUGCAUUCGAUACGGGCAGACUAGAAUUCGGCAGGGGAGACUGGAAUUCCUGGUGUAGCGGUGAAAUGCGCAGAUAUCGGGAGGAACACCAGUGGCGAAGGCGACUUCCUGGCCUGUUCUUGACGCUGAGGCGCGAAAGCUAGGGGAGCAAACGGGG
This 254-nucleotide ribosomal RNA is filed under the name uncultured bacterium. RNAcentral describes it as "partial 16S ribosomal RNA". It matches the Rfam family "Bacterial small subunit ribosomal RNA", at positions 524 to 777 of the family's 1533-position model. The record is from RNAcentral.